Molecule: long non-coding RNA, 1841 nt
Filed under: Ananas comosus (pineapple)
Lineage: Eukaryota; Viridiplantae; Streptophyta; Magnoliopsida; Poales; Bromeliaceae
Description: long non-coding RNA (ACOM_LNC042539)
Source: RNAcentral
GGUCUCUCCCCAGCAGGGACCGGUCUCUCGCUGCGAACCCGAAAAUCCAGCGUUCGGGAACCGGUCUCUCCCUGCGCGGGACCGGUCUCUCACUGCGAGAACGCGCUCGGGAACCGGUCUCGCCUGCCAGAGACCGGUUGCCUCAGAGCUGCCGCAGCACUGCUCACUGGGGGAACCGGUCUCUCCUUCCAGGGACCGGUCCCCGAGAGUAAAAACUCUCAGGACUUGUCCAAAACUCUCGAGAUCGAACUUUUAGACCGGUAUACCAUCGACGGCCUUCCACCAAGUGUGGAAAAGUUCGGAAUACAUCCAAACACUCGAACCUCGCAAUUUGCAAAGGUCCAGUGUGUUACACAAUGUGAUAGCUCAACUCUCACCUGCUUAGUGCCUCUUUAUGACACUUGAGCUUUACAACGAAUUGAGGUCAAUUCAUGUUCUAUGUUUCAAGUAUGACAUUAUACCGACGUACAUUAUAGCCCGGGGCCCAAUGCCUCUUUAUGACAUUGGCCCAGAAUCUCACAUGGCCUAAGUCCCANGUUCUAUGUUUCAAGUAUGACAUUAUACCGACGUACAUUAUAGCCCGGGGCCCAAUGCCUCUUUAUGACAUUGGCCCAGAAUCUCACAUGGCCUAAGUCCCAAAGCCUCUCUAGGCUUCUAAAAUUCUUAAGGUCACAAUUGGCAUAUAGGUUAAAUGCGUGAAAGCAAGGUUAUUUACAUAAUAGGGAUCAUGGCUCCCAACCAUAACCAGAAUGCUAAGUCUCACAUGCAUGCACUCUACCACAUAGGGGUCCAAAAUUUCACUAUACAUAAUAUAUGUAUGUUAAGCAUUCUAAAAUUCAUAUUAAAUAUAUUUAACAUGAAAAUGUAUGAAUUUCUACUUUACGAAACAUAUUUUGCCAAAUAUGAGCAUUUCUCAUAUCAUAGGCUAGGUCAAACCCACCGAACCGUCGCGUGCUCCUUCGAUUCGUCGAACGGAGUUGUCCACGGGCCUCAAGAUCCCUAAAAGUGAUCAGCGAAGAGAUACGAGAGCAUUACAACCAACCAUAAGAUCAAACAUCAAUCUAGAAGCAAAAAGGGCCAAAAUUCAUCUCAAGAGAAGAAAUCUCUUCUAAAGCUCCAAAAGAGAGUUAGAACCCUUCCAAUCCAAGCCCAAGGAAGGUUCUAAUCCAAUCAAUCUAGCCCCACAAGCCCUAAAUCAAAAAGCCCCAAAAAUCAACCCUAAUACCCAUUCUAGGGUUCCAAAUGGUAAAACCUACCAAAUCAAGGAUCAAAGGGUAGAAUCCAAGUACUAACCUCCCAAGAUGCCUCCAAACAAGCUCCAAAUCUUCUAGGGUUGAAGAUUGGCCCACCACCAAGCUCUACAAGCAAGCUCCAAGCCUUGCAAAGGUGGAAAAGAGAGAAUGGGGUUGAGCUCCAAGCUCCCUCAAGCUAGCUCAUCUUCUUCCUCUCCUCCUUCUUCUUCUUCUUCUCUCUCUAGAAAGUGUAGGGAGAGGGUGAGAAUGAGAAAAUGAGAGAGGGAAGAGGAGGAAAUGGCUAAUAAGCCCAUCUAGUGUAACAAAAUCUGGAGAGGCCCCUCAAAAAUUCAAUAUUGCAUCAGCCCGGUCUGGGCAGUUUUCGCCCAGAGGGACCGGUCUAUCUCCAGCAGGGACCGGUCUCUCGCUGCGAACCCGAAAAACCAACGUUCGGGAAUCGUUCUCUCCCCGCGCAGGACAGGUCUCUCACUGCGAAGACGCGCUCGGGGACCGGUCUCGCCUGCCAGGGACCGGUUGCCUCAGGCUGCCUCAACACUGCUCAUUGGGGGACCGGUCUCUCCUUCCAGGGACCGGUCCCCGACAGUAAAA